UGGAGAAUAACGCGUGGCUGGAGGAACAAUUGAAAAAUGGAUAAGAUAAUACAACAAAAGGAUGAUCAAAUUAUGAAGCUGCAGGCCCAAUUAUUGGAACAAUACAAAAUAUUAGAUAACAGCAAAGCUAAGGAUGCUCAAAUUUUGAGUCUACAAGCUCAGCUAGGGGAAAAGAACAAAUUGGAACGGAACAGUUUCCAAACAGUGAAGGAGGUUUUUCCAAGCUCAUCCCUAACUGAACAUGAGGAUGAAUUGGCAU
This is a long non-coding RNA of Daphnia carinata, 259 nucleotides long. RefSeq lists it as uncharacterized. The record is from RefSeq and is a predicted model, not a curated record. The transcript has 3 exons. Lineage: Eukaryota; Metazoa; Arthropoda; Branchiopoda; Diplostraca; Daphniidae.